Molecule: ribosomal RNA, 500 nt
Filed under: uncultured bacterium
Lineage: Bacteria
Description: partial 16S ribosomal RNA
Rfam family: Bacterial small subunit ribosomal RNA
Source: RNAcentral
AUUGAACACUGGCGGCAGGCCUAACACAUGCAAGUCGAGCGGAUGACGGGAGCUUGCUCCUUGAUUCAGCGGCGGACGGGUGAGUAAUGCCUAGGAAUCUGCCUGGUAGUGGGGGACAACGUUUCGAAAGGAACGCUAAUACCGCAUACGUCCUACGGGAGAAAGCAGGGGACCUUCGGGCCUUGCGCUAUCAGAUGAGCCUAGGUCGGAUUAGCUUGUUGGUGAGGUAAUGGCUCACCAAGGCGACGAUCCGUAACUGGUCUGAGAGGAUGAUCAGGCACACUGGAACGGGGACACGGUCCGGGCUCCUACGGGAGGCAGCAGGGGGGAAUAUUGUACAAUGGGCGAAAGCCUGAUCCAGCCAUGCCGCGUGUGUGAAGAAGGUCUUCGGAUUGUAAAGCACUUUUGGUGGGAACGAAACGGCGCUUGCUAAUACCAGGCGCUAAUGACGGUACCCGCAGAAUAAGCACCGGCUAACUACGUGCCAGCCGCCGCGGUAA